ACAUGAAUAAUAUGAGGAUCUUUCUAAAAUGCCAAAUUCUGAUUUAGUAAGUCUGGAAUGGAGCCUGAGAUUCUACAUUUCUAACAAGUUAUGAAAUGAUGCUGAU
This 106-nucleotide microRNA precursor is filed under the name Marmota monax (woodchuck). The record is from RNAcentral. Lineage: Eukaryota; Metazoa; Chordata; Mammalia; Rodentia; Sciuridae.